RNAcentral lists this ribosomal RNA (497 nucleotides) under uncultured bacterium. Its description in RNAcentral is "partial 16S ribosomal RNA". It matches the Rfam family "Bacterial small subunit ribosomal RNA", at positions 28 to 507 of the family's 1533-position model. The record is from RNAcentral.
GAUGAACGCUGGCGGCGUGCCUAAUACAUGCAAGUCGAGCGAACGGACGAGAAGCUUGCUUCUCUGAUGUUAGCGGCGGACGGGUGAGUAACACGUGGAUAACCUACCUAUAAGACUGGGAUAACUUCGGGAAACCGGAGCUAAUACCGGAUAAUAUUUUGAACCGCAUGGUUCAAAAGUGAAAGACGGUCUUGCUGUCACUUAUAGAUGGAUCCGCGCUGCAUUAGCUAGUUGGUAAGGCAACGGCUUACCAAGGCAACGAUGCAUAGCCGACCUGAGAGGGUGAUCGGCCACACUGGAACUGAGACACGGCCCAGACUCCUACGGGAGGCAGCAGUAGGGAAUCUUCCGCAAUGGGCGAAAGCCUGACGGAGCAACGCCGCGUGAGUGAUGAAGGUCUUCGGAUCGUAAAACUCUGUUAUUAGGGAAGAACAUAUGUGUAAGUAACUGUGUACAUCUUGACGGUACCUAAUCAGAAAGCCACGGCUAACUACGUG